This 497-nucleotide ribosomal RNA is filed under the name uncultured bacterium. RNAcentral's name for it is "partial 16S ribosomal RNA". It matches the Rfam family "Bacterial small subunit ribosomal RNA", at positions 28 to 507 of the family's 1533-position model. The record is from RNAcentral.
GAUGAACGCUGGCGGCGUGCCUAAUACAUGCAAGUCGAGCGAACGGACGAGAAGCUUGCUUCUCUGAUGUUAGCGGCGGACGGGUGAGUAACACGUGGAUAACCUACCUAUAAGACUGGGAUAACUUCGGGAAACCGGAUCUAAUACCGGAUAAUAUUUUGAACCGCAUGGUUCAAAAGUGAAAGACGGUCUUUCUGUCACUUAUAGAUGGAUCCGCGCUGCAUUAGCUAGUUGGUAAGGUAACGGCUUACCAAGGCAACGAUGCAUAGCCGACCUGAGAGGGUGAUCGGCCACACUGGAACUGAGACACGGUCCAGACUCCUACGGGAGGCAGCAGUAGGGAAUCUUCCGCAAUGGGCGAAAGCCUGACGGAGCAACGCCGCGUGAGUGAUGAAGGUCUUCGGAUCGUAAAACUCUGUUAUUAGGGAAGAACAUAUGUGUAAGUAACUGUGCACAUCUUGACGGUACCUAAUCAGAAAGCCACGGCUAACUACGUG